UGCGCGGUAGUGAAACGGGAUCACAAAGGUCUCAUAAGCCUUUAUUACGGGUUCGAAUCCCGUCUGCGCAAC
This 72-nucleotide transfer RNA is filed under the name Mycobacterium phage Bongo. RNAcentral's name for it is "tRNA-Met". It matches the Rfam family "tRNA". Rfam says of the family: Transfer RNA (tRNA) molecules are approximately 80 nucleotides in length. Their secondary structure includes four short double-helical elements and three loops (D, anti-codon, and T loops). Further hydrogen bonds mediate the characteristic L-shaped molecular structure. tRNAs have two regions of fundamental functional importance: the anti-codon, which is responsible for specific mRNA codon recognition, and the 3' end, to which the tRNAs corresponding amino acid is attached (by aminoacyl-tRNA synthetases). tRNAs cope with the degeneracy of the genetic code in two manners: having more than one tRNA (with a specific anti-codon) for a particular amino acid; and 'wobble' base-pairing, i.e. permitting non-standard base-pairing at the 3rd anti-codon position. The record is from RNAcentral. RNAcentral also lists the same sequence under 9 other names. Lineage: Duplodnaviria; Heunggongvirae; Uroviricota; Caudoviricetes; Vilmaviridae.